GCGGUGGUAGCUCAGGGGUAGAGCUCCGGAUUGUGGCUCCGGCGGUCGCGAGUUCAAAUCUCGUCCAUCGCC
This 72-nucleotide transfer RNA is filed under the name Magnetococcus marinus MC-1. Its description in RNAcentral is "Magnetococcus sp. MC-1 tRNA". It matches the Rfam family "tRNA". From Rfam's summary of the family: Transfer RNA (tRNA) molecules are approximately 80 nucleotides in length. Their secondary structure includes four short double-helical elements and three loops (D, anti-codon, and T loops). Further hydrogen bonds mediate the characteristic L-shaped molecular structure. tRNAs have two regions of fundamental functional importance: the anti-codon, which is responsible for specific mRNA codon recognition, and the 3' end, to which the tRNAs corresponding amino acid is attached (by aminoacyl-tRNA synthetases). tRNAs cope with the degeneracy of the genetic code in two manners: having more than one tRNA (with a specific anti-codon) for a particular amino acid; and 'wobble' base-pairing, i.e. permitting non-standard base-pairing at the 3rd anti-codon position. The record is from Rfam by way of RNAcentral. Lineage: Bacteria; Pseudomonadati; Pseudomonadota; Magnetococcia; Magnetococcales; Magnetococcaceae.